This is a small RNA of 73 nucleotides. It matches the Rfam family "bZIP non canonical Hac1/Xbp1 intron". Rfam says of the family: bZIP intron RNA is a non-canonical intron that was first reported in HAC1 gene in yeast and XBP1 gene in Metazoa. The record is from Rfam.
CGCCUCCUCCGACAUGACACAACGUCCUGCAGAGAUGUUGUGCGACCUGCAGUGUCAGACGUCGGAGGAGCCG